GAUGAACGCUGACAGAAUGCUUAACACAUGCAAGUCAACUGUGGCGGACGGGCGAGUAACGCGUAAAGAACUUGCCUCACAGAUAGGGACAACAUUUGGAAACGAAUGCUAAUACCUGCUCCUGUGAGAGAGCUUUGCGUCCCAUUAGCUAGUUGGAGAGGUAACGGCUCACCAAGGCGAUGCUGGGUAGCCGGCCUGAGAGGGUGAUCGGCCACAAGGGGACUGAGACACAGCCCUUACGCCUACGGGAGGCAGCAGUGGGAAUAGUGGACAAUUGACCAAAGUCUGAUCCAGCAAUUCUGUGUGCACGAUGAAGUUUUCGGAAGGUAAAGUGCUUUCAGUUUGGAAGCGGUACCAACAGAAGAAGCGACGGCUAAAUACGUGCCAGCAGCCGCGGUAAUUC
Molecule: ribosomal RNA, 403 nt
Filed under: uncultured bacterium
Lineage: Bacteria
Description: partial 16S ribosomal RNA
Rfam family: Bacterial small subunit ribosomal RNA
Source: RNAcentral